Molecule: ribosomal RNA, 895 nt
Filed under: uncultured soil bacterium
Lineage: Bacteria
Description: SSU rRNA
Rfam family: Bacterial small subunit ribosomal RNA
Source: RNAcentral
GCAUUUGUCGAACUGUGACUGGCUAGACGACGUUGGCGGCGUGGAUUAGGCAUGCAAGUCGAACGAAUCCUAGCUGUGUAGCAAUACAUGGCUGGGGGAAGUGGCGAAAGGGGCAGUAAGGCGUGGGUAACCUACCUCCGGGACGUGGAUAGCCAUUCUAACGAGUGGGUAAUACGCGGCGAUUUGAUUGAGGGGCAUCCCUUGGUCAGGAAAUGAAUUUCGCCUGGAGAGGGGCUCACGUGAUAUUAGCUAGUUGGUAGGGUAACGGCCUACCAAGGCAAAGAUGUCUAGCGGGUGUGAGAGCACGACCCGCGCCACUGGCACUGAGACACUGGCCAGACACCUACGGGUGGCUGCAGUCGAGGAUCUUUGGCAAUGAGCGCAAGCUUGACCAAGCGACGCCGCGUGUGCGAUGAAGGCCUUCGGGUUGUAAAGCACUGUCGAGGGGAAGGAAGCCGCAAGGUUGACCGAUCCCUGGAGGAAGCACGGGCUAAGUUCGUGCCAGCAGCCGCGGUAAGACGAACCGUGCGAACGUUGUUCGGAAUCACUGGGCUUAAAGGGCGCGUAGGCGGCUUGCCAAGUCAGUGGUGAAAUCCUGCAGCUUAACUGCAGAAGUGCCUUUGAUACUGGCGAGCUCGAGGGAGGUAGGGGUAUGUGGAACUUCUGGUGGAGCGGUGAAAUGCGUUGAUAUCAGAAGGAACGCCGGUGGCGAAAGCGACGUACUGGACCUCUUCUGACGCUGAGGCGCGAAAGCUAGGGGAGCAAACGGGAUUAGAUACCCCGGUAGUCCUAGCCCUAAACGUGGUACUAGGUUGUGGACUACAUGGGUUCACAGCCGAAGCAAAGUGUUAAGUACCCCGCCUGGGGGAGUAUGGUCGCAAGGCUGAAACUCCAA